AAGAGCACACGUAGUAUGAUGCACAAGGACCUGUGCAAGGAUCCAGGUUUGAGCUCUUGGCUCCCUACUUGCUGGGGGGGGGGGGGUUGCUUCACAAGCAGUGAAGCAAGUCUGCAGGCAUCUUUUUCUUCCCUUCCUCUCUCAAUUUCUCUUCUAUCCAAUUAAAAAAAAAAAAAAAAAGGCCUCCAGGAGCAGUGGAUUUGUAGUAUUGGUACUGAGUCCCAGUAAUAACUCUGGAGAACAAAACAAAAGUAUGCGGUGAUGAUCAGAGUAAAAACAAAAAUAAAAAAACUGUACCAC
Molecule: long non-coding RNA, 300 nt
Organism: Erinaceus europaeus (western European hedgehog)
Lineage: Eukaryota; Metazoa; Chordata; Mammalia; Eulipotyphla; Erinaceidae
Exons: 2
Source: RefSeq, a predicted model, not a curated record